Molecule: ribosomal RNA, 452 nt
Filed under: Streptococcus sanguinis
Lineage: Bacteria; Bacillati; Bacillota; Bacilli; Lactobacillales; Streptococcaceae
Description: bacterial SSU rRNA
Rfam family: Bacterial small subunit ribosomal RNA
Source: RNAcentral
ACGAACGCUGGCGGCGUGCCUAAUACAUGCAAGUAGAACGCUGAAGAGAGGAGCUUGCUCUUCUUGGAUGAGUUGCGAACGGGUGAGUAACGCGUAGGUAACCUGCCUGGUAGCGGGGGAUAACUAUUGGAAACGAUAGCUAAUACCGCAUGAUAUUAAUUAUUGCAUGAUAAUUGAUUGAAAGAUGCAAUUGCAUCACUACCAGAUGGACCUGCGUUGUAUUAGCUAGUUGGUGAGGUAACGGCUCACCAAGGCGACGAUACAUAGCCGACCUGAGAGGGUGAUCGGCCACACUGGGACUGAGACACGGCCCAGACUCCUACGGGAGGCAGCAGUAGGGAAUCUUCGGCAAUGGGGGGAACCCUGACCGAGCAACGCCGCGUGAGUGAAGAAGGUUUUCGGAUCGUAAAGCUCUGUUGUAAGAGAAGAACGGGUGUGAGAGUGGAAAGUUC